CCGGACCUGACUGCUAUCGGAUUGGUACUAAGCCAUGCGAGUCAUUGUAGCAAUACAAGGCGGACGGCUCAGUAACACGUAGUCAACCUAACCUAUGGACGUGGAUAACCUCGGGAAACUGAGAAUAAACCGCGAUAGAUCAUUAUGCCUGGAAUGGCUUAUGGUUCAAACAAUUUAUUGCCGUAGGAUGGGACUGCGGCCUAUCAGCUUGUUGGUGAGGUAAUGGCCCACCAAGGCUAUAACAGGUACGGGCUCUGAGAGGAGAAGCCCGGAGAUGGGUACUGAGACACGGACCCAGGCCCUAUGGGGCGCAGCAGGCGAGAAACCUUAGCAAUGUGCGAAAGCACGACUAGGUUAAUCCGAGUGAUUCCUGUUGAAGGAAUCUUUUGUCAGUCGUAAAACCACAGACGAAUAAGGGGUGGGCAAGUCUGGUGUCAGCCGCCGCGGUAAUACCAGCACCUCGAGUGGUCAGGAGGUUUAUUGGGCCUAAAGCAUCCGUAGCCGGCUUUGCAAGUCUCCGGUUAAAUCCAGCUGCUCAACAGAUGGGCUGCCGGAGAUACUACACAGCUAGGGAGCGGGAGAGGCAGACGGUAUUCUGUGGGUAGGGGUAAAAUCCAUUGAUCCAUAGAGGACCACCAGUGGCGAAGGCGGUCUGCCAGAACGCGUUCGACGGUGAGGGAUGAAAGCUGGGGGAGCAAACCGGAUUAGAUACCCGGGUAGUCCCAGCUGUAAACGAUGCAAACUCGGUGAUGCAUUGGCUUAUGGCCAUGCAGUGCGCAGGAAGCCGUUAAGUUUGCCGCCUGGGAAGUACGGACGCAAGUCUGAACUUAAAGGA
RNAcentral lists this ribosomal RNA (835 nucleotides) under uncultured archaeon. RNAcentral describes it as "bacterial SSU rRNA". It matches the Rfam family "Archaeal small subunit ribosomal RNA", at positions 17 to 863 of the family's 1478-position model. The record is from RNAcentral.